GUGGGGAAUAUUGCACAAUGGGGGAAACCCUGAUGCAGCGACGCCGCGUGAGCGAGGAAGUAUUUCGGUAUGUAAAGCUCUAUCAGCAGGGAAGAAAAUGACGGUACCUGACUAAGAAGCCCCGGCUAACUACGUGCCAGCAGCCGCGGUAAUACGUAGGGGGCAAGCGUUAUCCGGAUUUACUGGGUGUAAAGGGAGCGCAGGCGGUCCUGCAAGUCUGGUGUGAAAGCCCGGGGCUCAACCCCGGGACUGCAUUGGAAACUGUGGGACUUGAGUGUCGGAGGGGCAAGUGGAAUUCCUAGUGUAGCGGUGAAAUGCGUAGAUAUUAGGAGGAACACCAGUGGCGAAGGCGGCUUGCUGGACGACAACUGACGCUGAGGCUCGAAAGCGUGGGGAGCAAACAGG
RNAcentral lists this ribosomal RNA (405 nucleotides) under uncultured bacterium. RNAcentral's name for it is "bacterial SSU rRNA". It matches the Rfam family "Bacterial small subunit ribosomal RNA", at positions 354 to 776 of the family's 1533-position model. The record is from RNAcentral.